ACGUCAGAAUAGAUACUUUGGAGAACAGAUUAUAAAUUUAGUGCAUAUUUCUUACGAGUUUAAUUUAUGGGUCACCUGUUUAAGAAUUUCGUUUAUCAAAAUUCUGUGGAUUGAAUAACCCUUAACUCACAACCCUUGUUCUGCAAACUUACUUCCACACAGACUACUUGACGUAUUUGUGUGAGGCACGGAUUCCCACUGUUUUGUGUCCACGUAUGAUAGUCGGAGCUCUUGGACUUAUGAGUGGAUUCUCAUGAGCAUAUCUCGGAAGCUUUACUUGAAACCGGUGUCCUUGUUGCAAGCAGCGAAUUCAGGAGUUGGGUGCAGCAAAGUUUUGAUGAGAUGAUGCUAUAUUGUGAUUCUCUCCACAGGCUGGAGUGCGCGUGUAUUUCUGAGCAGAGUUUUGAAGGUUUACAGAGUUUGAUUUUGGUCGUUGUUGCGAAUUUGAAGAUGUAGGGUUUUAGAGCGGAGUAUGAUCAAAGAGCAGCAGAAAUCGACAGAAUAUGGCGCAGGCAGGAUUGACAGCGCUGGAUACAUGGAUGUCGCGCAAGUGGAGGGAGCGCGAGCGUAUGUGGCGAAAAGAUGUGAGGCAAUGGCGAUCCGAGGAAUUGAUCUUCCGCGCAGAUGCUCGGAGAUACGAGCGUGCAGAAGCUCUGUUUCGGAUGCAAAAACGCAGAUGGCGCGAAGAAGAUAUGAAGCAGAGGCGAGUGGAUAAUUCGCAUUACCUUUGGUCCAGAUGUGCAGAAUUGAAUAGACGUGAAGUAGAUGAGAAGGCGGAGCACCUUCGUUUACUCAGUUGGCUUACAGGACUGAUUACCAGUUUCACAAUGACAACGCUUGUAGAGUUUCAAUUCGAUGCCACCGUUUCUACAGCUCGAUUAACAGCCUAUGCUAUCUUCACCGCUCUUGUGCCAACUCUCAUGACAACAGCAACGAUGAUCAGUGUGUUUCUUCUUGGAUCUAUUUUGAAGAUGGGGAAGUGGUUUGUUUCCGAGGAAGCUGAAGAGGAAUUCAUGGCACAGUGUCGUAUUUAUGCCGAAUCUGCCCACCCUUCGCAACUUGCCCCUCCAGCUCCUCGCCGUACGUUCGAUCGAUUUUGGGAAUUCAGGUGUGAAGGCGAUUGGAAGAGAGCUUUUCGUAUGUUUUCAUGGGGCAUUACAUUUUUUCUGGCGCUCCUCUGUUCUUUAGGCUUUGUGAAGUUUUGGUUUAGUGACUUCAUUGCCAUCUUUUUCGCUGUCAUUAUCGGCAUCUUCUUCAUCAUCUGGCUGGGAAUUAAAUUCACUUACGGCUUAUACCUUAGAGACGACUCUGCAAACGACGAGCCAGCGGUGACAGUUUCUCGCCGACGACCAGAAUUGUCCUGGCCAGAAGAUCCUUUCAAAUGGCAUAUCCAACCACAGAAGAGCAAAUCAAUAUCCAGUUCGACAAGCCUCCUCAACAGGGAAGUGAACGCCACGCCUAUACCCUCAUCAUCGUGGCCGCUCUCACUUGAUCGGAGUUGUCCUAGCAAUUCUUCAGCAAAUGUACCCGCUGUAAAUACUGUGACAGCAGUAGAUACUGCAACAUGAUAAGGCUGCAAUAUGAGUCACAAUAGACUCACGCAGCCAUCCCUUGUGAAUUACACUAAGAGGGUGGCUAUCACAGCGCAUCCUAGCUACUCGGCCAUGGAGUGUCAACUGAAGAUGGUCUGUCCUAGACCCGAUGUGCUGGAUUUGAACAACAGCAAACAUGAUGCAGGCGGUGGUGUGGGCGACACAUAUUGUGAAGAUUCUGCCACUGAG
This is an RNA transcript of Physcomitrium patens, 1781 nucleotides long. RefSeq lists it as uncharacterized. The record is from RefSeq and is a predicted model, not a curated record. NCBI's taxonomy places the organism in Eukaryota, Viridiplantae, Streptophyta, Bryopsida, Funariales, Funariaceae.